Molecule: unclassified non-coding RNA, 390 nt
Filed under: soil metagenome
Description: partial contains 5.8S ribosomal RNA, internal transcribed spacer 2, and large subunit ribosomal RNA
Rfam family: 5.8S ribosomal RNA (bases 1-122)
Source: RNAcentral
GAUGAAGAACGUAGUGAAAUGCGAUACUUGGUGUGAAUUGCAGAAUCCCGUGAACCAUCGAGUCUUUGAACGCAAGUUGCGCCCGAAGCCAUUAGGCCGAGGGCACGCCUGCCUGGGCGUCACACGUCGUUGCCCCCCCAUCUACUCCUUCGGGAUGCGGGGGGCGGAUGAUGGCCUCCCGUGCGCCUCGCCGCGCGGUUGGCAUAAAUGCCAAGUCCUCGGCGACGCACGCCACGACAAUCGGUGGUUGCGAAACCUCGGUUGCCCGUCGUGUGCGGUCGUCGCGCAUCGAGGGCUCGAAAAAAUUGCCGGGCUCCGGCUCGGCUUUCAACGCGACCCCAGGUCAGGCGGGGUUACCCGCUGAAUUUAAGCAUAUCAAUAAGCGGAGGA